GGUAUCCUGUCUGAAUAUGGGGGGACCAUCCUCCAAGGCUAAAUACUCCUGACUGACCGAUAGUGAACCAGUACCGUGAGGGAAAGGCGAAAAGAACCCCGGCGAGGGGAGUGAAAAAGAACCUGAAACCGUGUACGUACAAGCAGUGGGAGCCUCUUAAUGGGGUGACUGCGUACCUUUUGUAUAAUGGGUCAGCGACUUAUAUUCUGUAGCAAGGUUAACCGAAUAGGGGAGCCGAAGGGAAACCGAGUCUUAACUGGGCGUUAAGUUGCAGGGUAUAGACCCGAAACCCGGUGAUCUAGCCAUGGGCAGGUUGAAGGUUGGGUAACACUAACUGGAGGACCGAACCGACUAAUGUUGAAAAAUUAGCGGAUGACUUGUGGCUGGGGGUGAAAGGCCAAUCAAACCGGGAGAUAGCUGGUUCUCCCCGAAAGCUAUUUAGGUAGCGCCUCGUGAAUUCAUCUCCGGGGGUAGAGCACUGUUUCGGCAAGGGGGUCAUCCCGACUUACCAACCCGAUGCAAACUGCGAAUACCGGAGAAUGUUAUCACGGGAGACACACGGCGGGUGCUAACGUCCGUCGUGAAGAGGGAAACAACCCAGACCGCCAGCUAAGGUCCCAAAGUCAUGGUUAAGUGGGAAACGAUGUGGGAAGGCCCAGACAGCCAGGAUGUUGGCUUAGAAGCAGCCAUCAUUUAAAGAAAGCGUAAUAGCUCACUGGUCGAGUCGGCCUGCGCGGAAGAUGUAACGGGGCUAAACCAUGCACCGAAGCUGCGGCAGCGACGCUUAUGCGUUGUUGGGUAGGGGAGCGUUCUGUAAGCCUGUGAAGGUGGCCUGUGAGGGUUGCUGGAGGUAUCAGAAGUGCGAAUGCUGACAUAAGUAACGAUAAAGCGGGUGAAAAGCCCGCUCGCCGGAAGACCAAGGGUUCCUGUCCAACGUUAAUCGGGGCAGGGUGAGUCGACCCCUAAGGCGAGGCCGAAAGGCGUAGUCGAUGGGAAACAGGUUAAUAUUCCUGUACUUGGUGUUACUGCGAAGGGGGGACGGAGAAGGCUAUGUUGGCCGGGCGACGGUUGUCCCGGUUUAAGCGUGUAGGCUGGUUUUCCAGGCAAAUCCGGAAAAUCAAGGCUGAGGCGUGAUGACGAGGCACUACGGUGCUGAAGCGACAAAUGCCCUGCUUCCAGGAAAAGCCUCUAAGCAUCAGGUAACAUCAAAUCGUACCCCAAACCGACACAGGUGGUCAGGUAGAGAAUACCAAGGCGCUUGAGAGAACUCGGGUGAAGGAACUAGGCAAAAUGGUGCCGUAACUUCGGGAGAAGGCACGCUGAUAUGUAGGUGAAGCGACUUGCUCGUGGAGCUGAAAUCAGUCGAAGAUACCAGCUGGCUGCAACUGUUUAUUAAAAACACAGCACUGUGCAAACACGAAAGUGGACGUAUACGGUGUGACGCCUGCCCGGUGCCGGAAGGUUAAUUGAUGGGGUUAGCGGUAACGCGAAGCUCUUGAUCGAAGCCCCGGUAAACGGCGGCCGUAACUAUAACGGUCCUAAGGUAGCGAAAUUCCUUGUCGGGUAAGUUCCGACCUGCACGAAUGGCGUAAUGAUGGCCAGGCUGUCUCCACCCGAGACUCAGUGAAAUUGAACUCGCUGUGAAGAUGCAGUGUACCCGCGGCAAGACGGAAAGACCCCGUGAACCUUUACUAUAGCUUGACACUGAACAUUGAGCCUUGAUGUGUAGGAUAGGUGGGAGGCUUUGAAGUGUGGACGCCAGUCUGCAUGGAGCCGACCUUGAAAUACCACCCUUUAAUGUUUGAUGUUCUAACGUGGGCCCCUUACCGGGGUUGCGGACAGUGUCUGGUGGGUAGUUUGACUGGGGCGGUCUCCUCCUAAAGAGUAACGGAGGAGCACGAAGGUUGGCUAAUCCUGGUCGGACAUCAGGAGGUUAGUGCAAUGGCAUAAGCCAGCUUGACUGCGAGCGUGACGGCGCGAGCAGGUGCGAAAGCAGGUCAUAGUGAUCCGGUGGUUCUGAAUGGAAGGGCCAUCGCUCAACGGAUAAAAGGUACUCCGGGGAUAACAGGCUGAUACCGCCCAAGAGUUCAUAUCGACGGCGGUGUUUGGCACCUCGAUGUCGGCUCAUCACAUCCUGGGGCUGAAGUAGGUCCCAAGGGUAUGGCUGUUCGCCAUUUAAAGUGGUACGCGAGCUGGGUUUAGAACGUCGUGAGACAGUUCGGUCCCUAUCUGCCGUGGGCGCUGGAGAACUGAGGGGGGCUGCUCCUAGUACGAGAGGACCGGAGUGGACGCAUCACUGGUGUUCGGGUUGUCAUGCCAAUGGCACUGCCCGGUAGCUAAAUGCGGAAGAGAUAAGUGCUGAAAGCAUCUAAGCACGAAACUUGCCCCGAGAUGAGUUCUCCCUGAGACUUAGAGUCUCCUGAAGGAACGUUGAAGACGACGACGUUGAUAGGCCGGGUGUGUAAGCGCAGCGAUGCGUUGAGCUAACCGGUACUAAUGAACCGUGAGGCUUAACCUUACAACGCCGAAG
This 2530-nucleotide ribosomal RNA is filed under the name Escherichia coli. RNAcentral describes it as "partial 23S ribosomal RNA". It matches the Rfam family "Bacterial large subunit ribosomal RNA", at positions 428 to 2925 of the family's 2925-position model. Lineage: Bacteria; Pseudomonadati; Pseudomonadota; Gammaproteobacteria; Enterobacterales; Enterobacteriaceae. The record is from RNAcentral.